RNAcentral lists this ribosomal RNA (386 nucleotides) under Aphidius urticae. RNAcentral's name for it is "partial 16S ribosomal RNA". Lineage: Eukaryota; Metazoa; Arthropoda; Insecta; Hymenoptera; Braconidae. The record is from RNAcentral.
AAAACAUGUCUUAUUGAUAAUAAUUUUAAGUCUAAUCUGCCCAAUGAAAUUUAAAUGGCUGCAGUAUCAAUAACUGUACAAAGGUAGCAUAAUAAUUAGUUUUUUAAUUGAAAACUAGAAUGAAAGAUUAAAUGAAAUAUAAACUUUAUAAAUAAAACAAAAAUUUAAAUUAAAUUUUAAGUUAAAAUUCUUAAAUAUAAUUAAAAGACGAGAAGACCCUUUAGAAUUUUAUAUUAAAUAUAAUUAAAUUUAUAAUAUUUUAAAUAUAAAUUAUAUUUAAUAUUUAAUUGGGGUAAUUUUAUAAUUUAAUAAACUUUUAAAUAAUUAUAACAUUAAUUAAUGACUAUAUAAUCCUAAUUUUUAGUAUUUUAAAAUAAAUUACCUUA